CAAGUGCUACCACGCCACCGGGAGGUGGCAGGGCAGAUCCUGGUGUCGGGGCGGAUCCUGAAGCUGGGAGUGGCUGACCCCACUGCUCCCACAACCGGUCUGAGAAGGUGCAGAGAGGCCCAGGAUGUAGGGAGAGGAGUUGCCUCCCUGGCUUAGAAGUCAGCUCCAUGAAGGGGGACGUAAAUUACAGACAGGAUGCUGGCCCCAUCGGACACAGUCUUUCCUCAGCAGAUGUCUUCCUCGUCCUCCAAGACCCAGCUCAACGGUCCCUGCUCUUAGAAGCGUCCUGAUUCCAGGGGGGCGAGCAGCACCCACUUCCCCUGGUACAUUCGGCAGGAUGAACACGUCAGGUGUGGUGUUAGCCAUCUUAGCGUCCCAGCAAGUGUGUGAGCUCCAUGCGAGUGGGGCCUGUGUAUUUACCACCCUGGAGUCCCUGCCCCACGCUCAGCGCUGGGCCUAACAGCGUCAACAGGUGUGAGCAAGCCGAUGUGUGUGUGUGCACAUGUGCCUGAGCGCCAGGAGAGCUGGUCGGGAGGUGACCUGUUCAGGAAAGGACAGGGAGGGGUCAAAGUUUACUACGUGCAUCCCCAGCCUCCACUCGGGGCUCCCUCUACUCCCAAGACCGUGACUCCCCCAGUCUCCUUUGCGCCCAUUCAGACUGAGGGAGCGUCUGGCUCCUUGCCGACUGAGUCAAGGUCAGCUCAUCCCCUGCCGGGUCACAGGGGCGCACUCCCAGGAGGAGUGUACUGGUGGUAUUUCCAGAGCUCUGCUGGGUGUGAUGGAAGGUGAGGGGACACUGGCCCAUUAGAAAGUGGACGGAAUCUUCCAGACUUCAGACAGAGGAGACUAGACUAUCAGGGAGGGGACAACGGAUGUGAGCCGCGUUUUGAAGGAAAAACUGUCGU
Capra hircus (goat) is the source of this 905-nucleotide long non-coding RNA. RefSeq lists it as uncharacterized. The transcript has 3 exons. The record is from RefSeq and is a predicted model, not a curated record. NCBI's taxonomy places the organism in Eukaryota, Metazoa, Chordata, Mammalia, Artiodactyla, Bovidae.